This is a non-coding RNA of Flavobacterium sp. FPG59, 144 nucleotides long. NCBI's taxonomy places the organism in Bacteria, Pseudomonadati, Bacteroidota, Flavobacteriia, Flavobacteriales, Flavobacteriaceae. The record is from Rfam.
GUAUAGCCCUGACAGUAGCGUAAAGCCUAUGCAGGUUGAAAACCACUUUUUAUGGCGCUGGCAGAGCGACCGCAGGAAGCUCCUGAAAGUGCCUAGAAAAAGGGUUUGAAACCAAAUAGCUUGCAGCGUAUGGCGGGAAUAGCU